UACGGAGGGUGCAAGCGUUAUCCGGAUUCACUGGGCGUAAAGGGUGCGUAGGUGGUGAGGUAAGUCGGAUGUGAAAUCUCUGGGCUCAACCCGGAAACGGCAUUGGAAACUACCUUGCUAGAGGUUUUGAGGGGGGACUGGAAUUCUCGGUGUAGCAGUGAAAUGCGUAGAUAUCGAGAGGAACACCGGUGGCGAAGGCGAGUCCCUGGAAAACACCUGACACUGAGGCACGAGAGCUAGGGGAGCAAACAGG
Molecule: ribosomal RNA, 253 nt
Filed under: uncultured bacterium
Lineage: Bacteria
Description: partial 16S ribosomal RNA
Rfam family: Bacterial small subunit ribosomal RNA
Source: RNAcentral